RNAcentral lists this transfer RNA (77 nucleotides) under Bacillota bacterium. RNAcentral's name for it is "tRNA-Arg". It matches the Rfam family "tRNA". Rfam says of the family: Transfer RNA (tRNA) molecules are approximately 80 nucleotides in length. Lineage: Bacteria; Bacillati; Bacillota. The record is from RNAcentral. RNAcentral also lists the same sequence under 2 other names.
GUGCCCAUAGCUCAACUGGAUAGAGCGUCUGACUACGGAUCAGAAGGCUGGGGGUUCAAGUCCUCUUGGGCACGCCA